AUAGCCGACCUGAGAGGGUGAUCGGCCACAUUGGGACUGAGACACGGCCCAAACUCCUACGGGAGGCAGCAGUAGGGAAUCUUCGGCAAUGGACGAAAGUCUGACCGAGCAACGCCGCGUGAGUGAAGAAGGUUUUCGGAUCGUAAAACUCUGUUGUUAGAGAAGAACAAGGAUGAGAGUAACUGUUCAUCCCUUGACGGUAUCUAACCAGAAAGCCACGGCUAACUACGUGCCAGCAGCCGCGGUAAUACGUAGGUGGCAAGCGUUGUCCGGAUUUAUUGGGCGUAAAGCGAGCGCAGGCGGUUUCUUAAGUCUGAUGUGAAAGCCCCCGGCUCAACCGGGGAGGGUCAUUGGAAACUGGGAGACUUGAGUGCAGAAGAGGAGAGUGGAAUUCCAUGUGUAGCGGUGAAAUGCGUAGAUAUAUGGAGGAACACCAGUGGCGAAGGCGGCUCUCUGGUCUGUAACUGACGCUGAGGCUCGAAAGCGUGGGGAGCAAACAGGAUU
This 504-nucleotide ribosomal RNA is filed under the name Enterococcus faecium. RNAcentral's name for it is "bacterial SSU rRNA". It matches the Rfam family "Bacterial small subunit ribosomal RNA", at positions 283 to 779 of the family's 1533-position model. The record is from RNAcentral. Lineage: Bacteria; Bacillati; Bacillota; Bacilli; Lactobacillales; Enterococcaceae.